Molecule: small nuclear RNA, 107 nt
Organism: Manis pentadactyla (Chinese pangolin)
Lineage: Eukaryota; Metazoa; Chordata; Mammalia; Pholidota; Manidae
Source: RefSeq, a predicted model, not a curated record
GUGCUCAGUUCAGUGGCACAUAUACUAAGAUUGGAAUGAUACAGAGAAGAUUAGCAUGGCCCCUGCCCAAGGAUGACAUGCAAACUUGUGAAGUGUUCCAUAUUUUU